RNAcentral lists this ribosomal RNA (272 nucleotides) under uncultured bacterium. Its description in RNAcentral is "partial 16S ribosomal RNA". It matches the Rfam family "Bacterial small subunit ribosomal RNA", at positions 524 to 796 of the family's 1533-position model. The record is from RNAcentral.
UACGGAGGAUGCAAGCGUUAUCCGGAUUCAUUGGGUUUAAAGGGUGCGUAGGCGGGCUAUUAAGUCAGUGGUGAAAUCCUGCAGCUUAACUGCAGAACUGCCGUUGAUACUGAUAGUCUUGAGUUUGGUUAAGGUAGGCGGAAUGUGUAAUGUAGCGGUGAAAUGCUUAGAUAUUACACAGAACACCAAUUGCGUAGGCAGCUUACUGAGCCGACACUGACGCUGAGGCACGAAAGCGUGGGGAUCAAACAGGAUUAGAAACCCCUUAGUCC